Molecule: long non-coding RNA, 1844 nt
Organism: Acipenser ruthenus (sterlet)
Lineage: Eukaryota; Metazoa; Chordata; Actinopteri; Acipenseriformes; Acipenseridae
Exons: 3
Source: RefSeq, a predicted model, not a curated record
AAGAAGCAGAAUCCUCGAGGCCCCCUUCCACUCCGCUCUCUCAAGAUAACAUGGCAACAGCAAGGGUCAAACUAAACGUACCCCAAGGAGUGAAUCUUGAGGACCCCAAAGUGAGCGAAGCCAUUUUAGAGCAGAUCCGGGAGCACCUCUCCAAGAACUUUCCAAUGGACGGUGUUAAUCUGCGCUGGAGAAAACAAGACGGGGAGAUAUUCCACAUGGAGGAAGAGGAGGAGGAGGAGGAGAAGAAGAAGUACUUCGAGCCGUGAGAUACCAGCACCCACAAUGACAAGCAGGGGCUUUCAGAGCAGCACUGGCUUAUAUUAAUCUGACAUUAUCUACUGGUUUAUAUUAAUCUGACAUUAUCUACUGGUUUAUAUUAAUCUGACAUUAUCUACUGGUUUAUAUUGCUCUGACAUUAUCUACUGGUUUAUAUUACUCUGACAUUAUCUACUGGUGCAGCACUGGUUUAUAUUAAGGUGAUGGGGUGUGUGUGUGUGUGUUUUAAUUUAAUGAUAAUUUAAAUAUAUGUUCAAUUAUUUACUGGUACAGCACAUAUUUAUAGUAAGGUGGUGGUGUGUGUGUUUUAAUUUAAUGAUAAUUUAAAUAUAUAUUCAAUUAUUUACUGGUGCAGCACAUAUUUAUAUUAAGGUGAGGUGGGUGUGUGUUUUAAUUUAAUGAUAAUUUAAAUAUAUGUUUAAUUAUUACUGGUGCAGCACAUAUUUAUAUUAAGGUGAGGUGUGUGUUUUAAUUUAAUGAUAAUUUAAAUAUAUAUUCAAUUAUUUACUGGUGCAGCACAUAUUUAUAUUAAGGUGAGGUGUGUGUGUGUUUUAAUGUAGUAAAUGAUUCUAAUAGAGGUUACAUUAGUUACUGGUGCAAGUUUCUUUCACCUUGUAAAGAAUAUAUUCAGAGUGCUAACAGAGUAACAGGCCUCUUCCCCAUGGCAUGGCAGAGCAUGGAUUUACAGAAUGAAUGUACAACUUGCAGUGUACUAUUAAAUCCCAUAGAGGGCACCACAAACACAUUUACUGAGGGAGGAAGGGAGCAAGCUCCUGUAUAAUUAUACAAUCACCUGGAAGGUCUUGAUGCUGCAGUACAUUACAAACAGGAGCCAGGAUACAGGUGUUGAAUUGCUUAUCAGGAGGACAGGGCUAAGGUAGAUGGCAGAUGAAGGACAGUUCUCUUUUUCACAUGAUCCUCCAGUGCAAUGACAUGGGCAGCUCUAGCCUGGGUCACCCUGAGCCUCUGUCUGGGUAAGUGAGACGAGUUGUCCUAGUGCAGCUCAACAAGCUGGUGUCUUCCAGUCCAGGUCUGCGUUCCAACCAUGGCUGCGUUUCUACCUGGAGGAAAAGCCCUCCAGGACUGGAGCCUGUCACAAUGCAAGUGAAGCUGCAGCAUACACUAGCACUGUGGCGCCCCCUAUGGUCUUUAAAUCGGUCUGCAUUAUCACACAGAAAUAUAUGUGCAGUCUGCAGGGUGCAAUGCAACAUGGGGUUCAGUCAUUAAGGCUAUGAGUAGGGUGGUUUGCCACAGCUUAUGAUUUCAAUGGAAAUGUCUUAUUUUUUUCUGAUAUAUAAUUUACAUUACUGUAAAAACAAAGAAUAACAGGGUCACUGAAAAAUACUUUUUAUUUCCCAUUAUAGUGUAUGGGGAGCAGAGGGGAGGGGGGCAAAUCCAUACAUUCAUGAAACAUGUUCAUCUCAUGCAAACACAUAGAAAUCACACGAGCUGUACCAAAGAAAAUAUGUGAUUCAUGUCAUUGUAUUGUAUGAAGGGAUGUGCAUGACAAUGAUACUCUACUACUCUGUAUUUCUGAAUGUAUUUUUGCUGAUUUAUUUCAAUAAAGU